RNAcentral lists this ribosomal RNA (460 nucleotides) under uncultured bacterium. Its description in RNAcentral is "partial 16S ribosomal RNA". It matches the Rfam family "Bacterial small subunit ribosomal RNA", at positions 338 to 795 of the family's 1533-position model. The record is from RNAcentral.
CCUACGGGGAGCUGCAGUGAGGAAUAUUGGUCAAUGGACGGAAGUCUGAACCAGCCAUGCCGCGUGCAGGAAGACGGCUCUAUGAGUUGUAAACUGCUUUUGUACAAGGGUAAACCUGAAUACGUGUAUUCAGCUGAAAGUACUGUACGAAUAAGGAUCGGCUAACUCCGUGCCAGCAGCCGCGGUAAUACGGAGGAUCCAAGCGUUAUCCGGAUUUAUUGGGUUUAAAGGGUGCGUAGGCGGAUUGAUAAGUUAGAGGUGAAAUGUCCGGGCUUAACUCGGGAACUGCCUCUAAUACUGUUGAUCUAGAGAGUAGAUGCGGUAGGCGGAAUGUAUGGUGUAGCGGUGAAAUGCUUAGAGAUCAUACAGAACACCGAUUGCGAAGGCAGCUUACCAGUCUAUAUCUGACGUUGAGGCACGAAAGCGUGGGGAGCGAACAGGAUUAGAUACCCCUGUAGUC